AGCAAGGUCCCCGGUUCGUCACAUAUUUAUAUAAAUAGCACAGCCGGGUCCAGUAUUGCACUUCUCCGCUAUAGAUUCUUUCACAAGCCAGGACAUCUGCUCACCAGUUUAUCUGGGACAUAAGCUGUGAUUAGGUUUAAAGAGAAUCUGUCACAAUGCAGGCACAUGAGUUAUUUAGAAACCUGAGGAUUCCUGAGCUAGGAGACGUUCGUGAAUAUGUGCGGACUCUUCCUACUAACACGUUGAUGGGCUUUGGGGCGUUUGCUGCUCUGACAACUUAUUGGUACGCUACAAGACCCAAGGCUCUGAAAGCUCCUUGUGAUCUGGCAAUGCAGUCUGUGCAAGUACAGGGAGACGAACAUGCUCGCAGGUCAACACUUUUGGACAGUGAUGAGGUGAUGACAUAUUACUAUGAUGAUGUUCGAACUAUCUAUGACAUUUUUCAAAGGGGGAUUAAAGUAUCAAAUAAUGGACCUUGUUUAGGACACCGGAAACCAAAUCAACCAUAUGAAUGGAUUUCUUAUCAAGAGGUAUCGGACCGAGCAGAGUUUGUGGGGUCAGCCCUGCUACACAGAGGAUUCAAACGAUCCUCAGAGCAGUUUGUAGGGAUCUUUGCCCAAAACCGACCUGAGUGGGUGAUAGCAGAACUUGCUUGCUAUACAUACUCCAUGGUGUCUGUGCCACUGUAUGACACAUUGGGAGCUGAAGCUAUAACGUACAUCAUAAACAAAGGUGAUAUCUCUUUAGUGUUUUGCGAUGUUCCAGAAAAGGCAAAAUUAUUGCUAUCCAAUGUUGAAAAAGGCGAAACACCUGUCCUCAAGACCAUUGUGCUUAUGGAGCCAUUUGAUGAUGAUCUUGUAGAACGAAGCAAGAAGUGUGGAGUGGAACUAAUCAGCUUAAAAGAAAUAGAAGAUGCGGGAAAGGCAAACAGAGAGAAACCAAAGCCUCCAAAACCAGAAGACCUGGCUGUUGUUUGCUUUACUAGUGGGACAACAGGAAAUCCAAAAGGUGCAAUGCUUACACAUAAAAACAUUGUGAGCAACAGCGGAGCUUUUCUUAAAGUAACAGAGAGCAUGAUUACUCUGAAUUCCAGCGACAUACACAUUUCCUAUUUGCCUUUGGCACACAUGUUUGAAAGACUGGUCCAGUGUGUAGUCCUUUGUCAUGGUGCUAGAAUAGGAUUUUUCCAAGGUGACAUCCGAUUGCUAAUGGACGAUCUUCAAGUCUUGCAACCGACUAUUUUUCCAGUGGUGCCCCGUUUGCUAAAUAGGAUGUUUGAUCGGAUUUUUGGACAAGCCAAUACCCCGAUGAAGCGAUGGAUGUUGGAUUUUGCAUCUAAAAGAAAAGAAGCUGAACUCCGCAGUGGUAUUAUCAGAAACAAUAGUUUCUGGGACAAAAUUAUUUUCCACAAAGUUCAGGCUAGCCUUGGUGGAAAGGUACGACUAAUGAUAACAGGAGCAGCACCAGUUUCACCUACUGUGUUAACCUUCUUGCGAGCAGCACUUGGCUGUCAGUUCUAUGAAGGAUAUGGACAAACUGAAUGCACCGCUGGGUGUUCACUAACUAUUCCUGGAGACUGGACAGCGGGUCAUGUGGGUGCACCAAUGCCUUGUAAUCAUCUCAAACUGGUCGAUGUGGAGGAAAUGAACUAUUUUGCAGCAAAUGGAGAGGGUGAAGUUUGUGUCAAAGGGUCAAAUGUUUUUCAAGGAUAUUUAAAGGAUGAGGAGAAAACUACAGAAGCUUUGGACAAGGAUGGCUGGUUACAUACCGGAGACGUUGGGAAAUGGCUUCCUAAUGGUACCUUGAAAAUUAUUGACCGAAAAAAACACAUAUUUAAACUGGCACAAGGGGAAUACAUUGCACCAGAAAGAAUUGAAAAUAUUUACACAAGGAGUGAACCUGUUGUUCAAGUUUUUGUGCAUGGUGAAAGCUUACAGGCAUUUUUAGUUGGCAUAGUUGUAUUAGAUCCAGACAAUGUGCUUAAAUGGGCAAAGAAGAAGAAAUUUGAUUGUUCCUAUGAAGACUUGUGUAAAAAUAAGGACUUUAAAAAUGUAGUCCUAGAAGAUUUCUUGAGACUUGGAAAAGAAGCUGGUUUGAAAACCUUUGAACAAGUGAAAGAUAUUGCCUUGUAUCCAGAAAUGUUUUCCAUAGAAAAUGGCCUUUUAACACCUACAAUGAAAGCCAAGAGACCAGAGUUGAGAAAAUUCUUCAAGAGUCAAAUUGACGAACUGUAUGCCAAUAAUCACUUAUAACCGAAGAGCAGAAAUGUAUGAAGAAUUCCCAGGUUUAACUGGUCAUCGAUUAGCUCUCAAUUCACAACUGCAAACACAUUUAUACUGGUCAUAGGAAUAGCAAGAUCUGAAAUGCCUUAUUGGUCACCUUUCUUGUAACCAAUGUGACCUGGUGUCUCCAAAGUAGGUCUUAAAUUGAGAAGGACAUCUAGAUUUUAUUGGACAUCUUUGACUUUCCUUAUACAAAUGAAAAUCUCUGCAAUCUUAACAUAUUUUUCUAUCCCUAAUUUUAUGCUCCUUUCUGAUGUCAGCAUUUGUUACGCAGCCCAUGAUUGUAAUUAAUUUAAAUAAGAUGUAUGCGUGAAAAAAGUGGUGUAAAACUGUGAAAUGUUUUGGAAUAAGAGCAUAAGAACUGAAUGUAAUUUUUUGCUGUUUAAUACUGAAUGUAUAAUAAACUUCUUAAAAAAUAAACAAAAAUACAUAUAAAAAACACUUUUCAAAACAUUAAGAAAACCAGAUUUUUUUUUAUUUUUUUUUACCAAUCAAAUUUCACUGUUACCAGCUUGCAUAUACACAAAGCAAAUUAUGCUAGUAAGAACACUGAAAAUAGACAGCAACUGUUAAUACUUUCAAAUAACAUUCAUGCCAAAUAAUUAUACUUUUUAAAAUGGCACUAAUAGAUUACAAGUAUUUGUUAGAACUGAAAGCCACAAGGGAGGAAUUAGUUAAAAUCAAGCACAAAACUGUUUGCACUAUGUAAUUAUGAUGCACUGCAGCCUAGGGUAAUUAUCAUUUAUAUUAUUGCACAAAAUGCAGCAUGACCUUUUUAUCCAAAUUGUGUGGUAACUUCAAAGUUUGCCUAAAGCGUGGAUCUUGUACAAACCAAAAAAGUUCCCUUCUCUACUUCCAAAAACAUGAAGGAAACCAAAAUAAAUCAAUUUUCAUUUGAA
This is an RNA transcript of Bombina bombina (fire-bellied toad), 3181 nucleotides long. It is a transcript of the gene named acyl-CoA synthetase long chain family member 1, with no coding region annotated. The record is from RefSeq and is a predicted model, not a curated record. NCBI's taxonomy places the organism in Eukaryota, Metazoa, Chordata, Amphibia, Anura, Bombinatoridae. The transcript has 23 exons.